GACGAACGCUGGCGGCGUGGAUUAGGCAUGCAAGUCGAACGGUAUCAUCCUUUCGGGGGUGAGAGAGUGGCGAACUGGUGAGUAACACGUAGGUUAUCUACCCUCAAGACGGGGACAACCCAGGGAAACUUGGGCUAAUACCGGAUGUGAGCAACUUUUAGUUGUUUGAAAGGUGGCGUAAGCUGUCGCUUGGGGAUGAGCCUGCGUCCUAUUAGUUAGUUGGUGAGGUAACGGCUCACCUAGGCAAUGAUAGGUAGGCGGCCUUAACGGGUGGUCGCCCACACUGGGAUUGAGAUACGGCCCAGACUCCUACGGGAGGCAGCAGUCGAGAAUAGUCUACAAUGGUCGGAAGACUGAUAGUGCGACGCCGCGUGAACGAUGAAUCCCUUCGGGGUGUAAAGUUCUUUUAUAUGUGAGCAGUGCUUCUUAUAUUAACAGUAUGGGGAGAGAGAUAUUAGCAUAUGAAUAAGCAACGGCUAACUCCGUGCCAGCAGCCGCGGUAAAC
RNAcentral lists this ribosomal RNA (505 nucleotides) under uncultured bacterium. RNAcentral describes it as "bacterial SSU rRNA". It matches the Rfam family "Bacterial small subunit ribosomal RNA", at positions 28 to 525 of the family's 1533-position model. The record is from RNAcentral.